This 362-nucleotide ribosomal RNA is filed under the name uncultured eukaryote. RNAcentral's name for it is "partial 18S ribosomal RNA". It matches the Rfam family "Eukaryotic small subunit ribosomal RNA", at positions 592 to 976 of the family's 1831-position model. The record is from RNAcentral.
CAAUAGCAUAUAUUAACGUUGUUGCAGUUGAAAAGCUCGUAGUUGAACUUUUGGUAGGAGCGACCUGGCCUUGGGCGCAUGCCCUUGUUUGCCGUGUGUCGUGUCUGGCCAUCCUUUUCUUCUUUUUGGAAGGAAUCUUUUACUGUGAGUAAACUGGAGUGCUCAAAACAAGACGUUUGUUUGGUACAUUAAAGCAUGGAAUAAUAAGAUAGGACCUGGUUACUAUUUUGUUGGUUUGCAUAGCUAGGUAAUGAUUAACAGGGACAGUUGGGGGUAUUCGUAUUUAAUUGUCAGAGGUGAAAUUCUUGGAUUUAUGAAAGACGAACGACUGCGAAAGCAUUUACCAAGGAUGUUUUCAUUAA